Molecule: ribosomal RNA, 396 nt
Filed under: uncultured bacterium
Lineage: Bacteria
Description: bacterial SSU rRNA
Rfam family: Bacterial small subunit ribosomal RNA
Source: RNAcentral
GACGAACGCUGGCGGCGUGGAUUAGGCAUGCAAGUCGAACGCGAAAGAGGGGGAAACCCCUUUAGUAGAGUGGCGAACGGGUGAGUAACGCGUGAAGAACCUGCCUUCAACAGGGGGAUAACACUCCCAACGGGGUGCUAAUACCGCAUGAGACCACGGAGCUGCAUGGCUCUGAGGUCAAAGGUGGCCUCUAUUUAUAAGCUACCGGUUGAAGAUGGCUUCGCGUCCCAUUAGCAGUUGGCGGUGUAAAAGACCACCAAGGCGACGAUGGGUAGCUGGUCUGAGAGGAUGGUCAGCCACACUGGGACUAAGAUACGGCCCAGACUCCUACGGGAGGCAGCAGUCGAGAGGCUUCGGCAAGUGGGGAAACCCUGACCGAGCGACGCCGCGUGGAGA